GGCGGCAGGCCUAAACAUGCAAGUCGAGCGCCGUAGCAAUACGGAGCGGCAGACGGGAGAGUAACACGUGGGAACGUACCCUUUGGUUCGGAACAACCCAGGGAAACUUGGGCUAAUACCGGAUAAGCCCUCACGGGGAAAGAUUCAUCGCCGAAGGAUCGGCCCGCGUCUGAUUAGCUAGUUGGUGGGGUAAUGGCCCACCAAGGCGACGAUCAGUAGCUGGUCUGAGAGGAUGAUCAGCCUCACUGGGACUGAGACACGGCCCAGACUCCUACGGGAGGCAGCAGUGGGGAAUAUUGGACAAUGGGCCCAAGCCUGAUCCAGCCAUGCCGCGUGGGUGAUGAAGGCCCUAGGGUUGUAAAGCCCUUUCGGCGGGGAAGAUAAUGACGGUACCCGCAGAAGAAGCCCCGGCUAACUUCGUGCCAGCAGCCGCGGUAAUACGAAGGGGGCU
This 451-nucleotide ribosomal RNA is filed under the name uncultured bacterium. RNAcentral's name for it is "bacterial SSU rRNA". It matches the Rfam family "Bacterial small subunit ribosomal RNA", at positions 38 to 536 of the family's 1533-position model. The record is from RNAcentral.